CGAAAAAGCAUGCUAUUUCCUGCUGGAUUUGAAUCUGUAGCUGAUGCUGGAGACCAACUUGUCACAGUUUGACUGGGACUUUGUUGGCUUUAAAACUGAAAGUCCCAUGUCUGGGGAACCCCCUAACUCCUGGGCAAACUAGAGCAGUUGGUCAGCCCCAGGUGAUGUGAGGGCUGGAGUUGCUGCAGCCACAUGGUUAGCACUGGAAAUCUGACAAUGAAACCAGCACAAAGGAAACAGAGCUGAUAGGUGGAGAGAAGAAGCCAGUUCCUGGUCACAUCUUCAAACUCCUUGUUCUCUUUUUUGCUUAACCCAGGUUAAGCUGGAUUUCCUGACACUUGUAACAAAAUGUGUGCUCACCAGUAGAUCAGUUGUGUGAUAUUGCACAAGUCUCUUAAUCUCGCUGAGCCUCAGUUACUGCCUCUGUAAAACUGGAAUAAUACUUUCUGAAGAUUAAAUGAGAACAGUAUCAAGUCUCUGCUUCAAGGCCCAGCAUGAAGAAACUGCCCAAAAAGAAAAAACAACCUGCCAAGCUGUUUUCCAGAGUGUCUGUACCCUUUGGCAUUCCCACCAGCAAUGUGUGAGUGUGCCAGUUCCUCUGCAUCCUCACCAUCAUUUUUGGUGUUGUCACUAUUCUUUAUUUCAGCCAUUCUUAUAGACAUAUAGCGAUAUGUCAUUGCAGUGUUAAUUUGUAUUUCCCUAAUAG
This 706-nucleotide long non-coding RNA is filed under the name Homo sapiens (human). RNAcentral's name for it is "HSALNT0047859". Lineage: Eukaryota; Metazoa; Chordata; Mammalia; Primates; Hominidae. The record is from RNAcentral.